RNAcentral lists this non-coding RNA (24 nucleotides) under Arabidopsis thaliana (thale cress). Lineage: Eukaryota; Viridiplantae; Streptophyta; Magnoliopsida; Brassicales; Brassicaceae. The record is from RNAcentral.
GAAUUCGUCUCAGCGGUCACACCU